Molecule: unclassified non-coding RNA, 301 nt
Organism: Ictidomys tridecemlineatus (thirteen-lined ground squirrel)
Lineage: Eukaryota; Metazoa; Chordata; Mammalia; Rodentia; Sciuridae
Gene: 7SK
Rfam family: 7SK RNA
About the family: 7SK was discovered as an abundant small nuclear RNA in the mid-70s but a possible function has only recently been suggested. Two independent studies have found that 7SK RNA binds the CDK9/cyclin T complex (known as elongation factor P-TEFb).
Source: Ensembl
CAAUAAAUAUCUGCAACAUCUGUCACUCCAUUGAUUGCUAGGGUUCAUUCGGCCAAUCUGGCUGGCUAGGCGUGUGUCUAUUUCCUCCCUCACCACUCCAUGUGCAUCCCACCCAAAGCUGUGUGCUCUGAAGACGGCAACCUUCUCUGACAGAGGUCUUCAGUCAAGGGUAUUCAAGUAGCUGUGCUUCCCUGCUAGAAUCUCCAAACAAGCUCUCAAUAAAUACAUGCUUAGCAACACACAUGUCAGAUAAGUCCUUUACAGAGCUAUCAGACUUGGUCUUAAAAUUACUUUGGUGACC